GGGGAUUUGGCUCAGAGGUAGAGCACUUGCCUAGCAAGCACAAGGCCCUGGGUUCGGUCCCCAGCUCCG
This is a non-coding RNA of Rattus norvegicus (Norway rat), 69 nucleotides long. The record is from Rfam. Lineage: Eukaryota; Metazoa; Chordata; Mammalia; Rodentia; Muridae.